Unclassified non-coding RNA from Papio anubis (olive baboon), 147 nucleotides. It matches the Rfam family "Metazoan signal recognition particle RNA". Rfam says of the family: The signal recognition particle (SRP) is a universally conserved ribonucleoprotein. Lineage: Eukaryota; Metazoa; Chordata; Mammalia; Primates; Cercopithecidae. The record is from Ensembl.
GCCGGGUGUGGUGGUGCACACCUGUAAUCCCAGCUACUCAGGAGGCUGAGGCAGGAGAAUCGCUUGAACCCAGGAAGCAGAGGUGUCAGUGAGCUAAGAUCACCCCACUGCACUCCAGCCUGGUGACACAGUGAGACCCUGUCUCUA